RNAcentral lists this unclassified non-coding RNA (335 nucleotides) under soil metagenome. Its description in RNAcentral is "partial contains 5.8S ribosomal RNA, internal transcribed spacer 2, and large subunit ribosomal RNA". The stretch from base 1 to 118 matches the Rfam family "5.8S ribosomal RNA", at positions 37 to 154 of the family's 154-position model. The record is from RNAcentral.
UGAAGAACGUAGCGAAAUGCGAUAAGUAAUGUGAAUUGCAGAAUUCCGUGAAUCAUCGAAUCUUUGAACGCACAUUGCGCCCCCUGGCAUUCCGGGGGGCAUGCCUGUCCGAGCGUCAUUUCUGCCCUCAAGCACGGCUUGUGUGUUGGGUGUGGUCCCCCCGGGGACCUGCCCGAAAGGCAGCGGCGACGUCCGUCUGGUCCUCGAGCGUAUGGGGCUCUGUCACUCGCUCGGGAAGGACCUGCGGGGGUUGGUCACCACCAUGUUUUACCACGGUUGACCUCGGAUCAGGUAGGAGUUACCCGCUGAACUUAAGCAUAUCAAUAAGCGGAGGA